GAUGAACGCUGGCGGCGUGCCUAAUACAUGCAAGUCGAGCGAACAGACGAGGAUCUUGCUCCUCUGACGUUAGCGGCGGACGGGUGAGUAACACGUGGAUAACCUACCUAUAAGACUGGGAUAACCUCGGGAAACCGGAGCUAAUACCGGAUAAUAUAUUGAACCGCAUGGUUCAAUAGUGAAAGACGGUUUUGCGGUCACUAAUAGAUGGAUCCGCGCCGCAUUAGCUAGUUGGUAAGGUAACGGCUUACCAAGGCAACGAGGCGUAGCCGACCUGAGAGGGUGAUCGGCCACACUGGAACUGAGACACGGUCCAGACUCCUACGGGAGGCAGCAGUAGGGAAUCUUCCGCAAUGGGCGAAAGCCUGACGGAGCAACGCCGCGUGAGUGAUGAAGGUCUUCGGAUCGUAAAACUCUGUUAUUAGGGAAGAACAAAUGUGUAAGUAACUAUGCACGUCUUGACGGUACCUAAUCAGAAAGCCACGGCUAACUACGUG
This 497-nucleotide ribosomal RNA is filed under the name uncultured bacterium. Its description in RNAcentral is "partial 16S ribosomal RNA". It matches the Rfam family "Bacterial small subunit ribosomal RNA", at positions 28 to 507 of the family's 1533-position model. The record is from RNAcentral.